AUGAGUAGCUUUAUAUGUUGAGAUUUUCACCUGAAAAUCCUUACAAAAGACUACUAAUUUCACCUGAACAAUUUUUGAUAUUAGUUGUUUAACACUCUGAUUGGUUAAAACGUACUUUCUCUUCCAAAUUUUCAGAAAGCAACGUUGGUAGUUUCCAUACUUUGAUCUGUUUGUAUAUAUAUAAUGCUUUGCUGUAAACAUAGCCUUUCAAUUUUCUCAGCUCUUUUCUUCUAACAAGUGACAACCAACAAUGGCAGCAUCUUCUUCUAGCACCUUCUACACCAACCUCAAGUUUUGCACCAAAUUCAACAACAGCAACAGCAACUUGAACCGAAGGGAACUCAUAUUAAGAAGCAAUGAAAUAGCAACAGUUGGUGCUAUCUUCAAUUUCAAUUUCAGGGAAUGUAAGUGGAGGACGGAGUGUUCCAGCACCAAAAGCAUCUCUUGAGGCUUGGCAACGAUUAUUAUGAUGUUCUUAAAGGAAAAUAAGAAUGUUGCUGCUUUGACAACUAAAUCUAAAGUUAGAAAGUAGUCAGUUUUGAAAAGGGCUGAAAAAUCCUUCAGAAAAGAGGAAU
Molecule: non-coding RNA, 575 nt
Organism: Arachis ipaensis
Lineage: Eukaryota; Viridiplantae; Streptophyta; Magnoliopsida; Fabales; Fabaceae
Source: RefSeq, a predicted model, not a curated record